Molecule: ribosomal RNA, 1102 nt
Filed under: uncultured bacterium
Lineage: Bacteria
Description: bacterial SSU rRNA
Rfam family: Bacterial small subunit ribosomal RNA
Source: RNAcentral
UUCGGGUUGUAAACCUCUUUCACUUCUGACGAAGCCCUCUUUGGGGGGUGACGGUAGGUUGAGAAGAAGCACCGGCCAACUACGUGCCAGCAGCCGCGGUAAUACGUAGGGUGCGAGCGUUGUCCGGAAUUAUUGGGCGUAAAGGGCUCGUAGGCGGUUUGUCGCGUCGGGAGUGUAAUCCUCGUGCUUAACACGGGGCUUGCUUUCGAUACGGGCAGACUGGAGGCAUGCAGGGGAGAACGGAAUUCCUGGUGUAGCGGUGAAAUGCGCAGAUAUCAGGAGGAACACCGGUGGCGAAGGCGGUUCUCUGGGCAUGUCCUGACGCUGAGGAGCGAAAGUGUGGGGAGCGAACAGGAUUAGAUACCCUGGUAGUCCACACCGUAAACGUUGGGCGCUAGGUGUGGGAUCCAUUCCACGGGUUCCGUGCCGUAGCUAACGCAUUAAGCGCCCCGCCUGGGGAGUACGGCCGCAAGGCUAAAACUCAAAGGAAUUGACGGGGGCCUGCACAAGCGGCGGAGCAUGCGGAUUAAUUCGAUGCAACGCGAAGAACCUUACCUGGGUUUGACAUACAUCCUGCCGCCUCAGAGAUGGGGCUUCUUUUGGGGGUGUACAGGUGGUGCAUGGCCGUCGUCAGCUCGUGUCGUGAGAUGUUGGGUUAAGUCCCGCAACGAGCGCAACCCUUGUCGCAUGUUGCCAGCAUGCCGCCCCUUUGGGGGUGGUGGUGGGGACUCAUGCGAGACUGCCGGGGUCAACUCGGAGGAAGGUGGGGAUGACGUCAAGUCAUCAUGCCCCUUAUGUCCAGGGCUUCACGCAUGCUACAAUGGCCGGUACAGAGGGCUGCGAUCCCGUGAGGGGGAGCGAAUCCCAAAAAGCCGGUCUCAGUUCGGAUUGGGGCCUGCAACUCGACCCCAUGAAGUCGGAGUCGCUAGUAAUCGCAGAUCAGCAACGCUGCGGUGAAUACGUUCCCGGGCCUUGUACACACCGCCCGUCACGUCACGAAAGUCGGCAACACCCGAAGCCCAUGGCCUAACCCGCAUCCGUGUGGGGGAGUGGUCGAAGGUGGGGUUGGCGAUUGGGACGAAGUCGUAACAAGGUAACCGUA